Molecule: small RNA, 474 nt
Filed under: Pan troglodytes (chimpanzee)
Lineage: Eukaryota; Metazoa; Chordata; Mammalia; Primates; Hominidae
Description: retained intron
Source: RNAcentral
GGUUCCAAACCCUUGCUGGAGAGGUGAUGCAGUCAUUUGGAGGAAAGAGGGUUGCUGUGGUAUGCUGGGGUUCCGCUUCAAUGCCUAGUCACCUCAGAUUUUCCUGUACCUGCAGGUAUCACCAGUGAAGCCUGCGAAGCAGCAAAGAUGGCAGUCUGCCCCGUCUUCUAGGAGCUCUGUCACAGGGAGGUACGGACAUAUUGCUGGCUCAAAUGCACUGUAGGAGGUGGCUGGAGACCCUGGUUGGGAGGUCUUGCCCUUGUCAGGAGGAAUGAGACCAGGAACCUGCUUUAAAAAGUGCUUUGACCGUGUUUGCAUAGACAAGCCGUGCUGUGCUGGCGGACCACUUCAGCUCAUGGUCACCUCAGACACCCUGAAGCCUGAAGGCUGGAACAACUAAAUUGCCCAAACAGCAAAUAUGACAGCAUCUACAGAAAUCAUUUUAUUUGAGUUAUGUAGCAAGAACCCAACUUA